Molecule: long non-coding RNA, 831 nt
Filed under: Pan troglodytes (chimpanzee)
Lineage: Eukaryota; Metazoa; Chordata; Mammalia; Primates; Hominidae
Description: lincRNA
Source: RNAcentral
CUGUGAUGUGGAGGCCAUAGCGCCACUGGACUCAUGAGGAGACUGAGGCUCAGAGCAAUGAAGUGACCUGCUCAAAGUUAAGGAGCUUCAGUGAGGACCCAAUUUGUUCUGAUCCUAAGGUCACUAUCCUUAAUCCCUCUCCCUGUGGGGUCUUCCCUAUCUUGAGCCAGUGGACAGCUGUGCAGUGGCAAGAAAAAGGCCUUCAGAGCUACGCAAACCUGGCUUCAAAUCCCAGCCUCCCUGAUGAGCCCUGGUGGUCUUGCAUGCUUGCCCUUGGGACUCAGACACCAUAUUGUGAGGAAGCCCAAGCUACAUGCAGAGGCCACUAUAGUUGUUCUGGCCAACAGCCCAAGCUUCAGCUGCCAGACAUAUAAAUAAACCAACUCUUCAAAUGAUUUCAGUUUCCAGACUUCAAUGCAUCCCAGGUAAUGUCCAGAGGAGCAGAGAUGAACCAUCCUCUCUGAGCCCUGCCCAAAUGCAGACUUGAGAACAAACUAAAUGUCAUUGUCUCAAGCCACCAAUUUUCAGGGUGGCUUGGUACACAGCACCAGGUAACAGGAAUAGCCCCCCUCUUCCUCUGCAGCUCUCCCCAGGUACAGGCAAGCUCCCCAACCCAUGCUUCAUCCCCACCCCACAGACAGAACCUGGAGUCAGUCCUCCCACCCACAACUGUGCCUUCCAAACUAAGCUCAAAGCCCAGCUCUGUUGCUUUCAGAUGGGUGCCCUAGGGCAAGUCACCAACCCUAUAUGACAAAUCCCUCUGUGUCAAAUGGGAAUUAUAAUAAUGCCCCUGAGGAGUCUUGGAGAGAUUUAAUAAAGUGCCUGGAACAU